RNAcentral lists this unclassified non-coding RNA (267 nucleotides) under Hevea brasiliensis (rubber tree). The record is from RNAcentral. Lineage: Eukaryota; Viridiplantae; Streptophyta; Magnoliopsida; Malpighiales; Euphorbiaceae.
UGCAAUAUGAGUUGGCACGAGACAAGUAUCACAUUUCUGAUGCAUCCUAAUCACAGACUAAUUUCUACGCUUUUGACUAUAAUAAGUGUUCUAUGAUGUUAGCACUUAGUAUCUAUAUGCUUUUGCCUUUCAGUAAUUAAAAAUUUUCUGAAAAGUUGAAUUGUUUGGAUAAAACCGCUAAUGAAGAAGACAUAAAGAUAUUGCUUUGAGUAUACACAUCCAUUGAUUUUCUUCCUUUGGCAUUGUAGAAAGAGAUGUAGAAAGAGA